AAUGGAGGAAGAACCAACAGGGAUUGCCCCAGUAACGGCGAGUGAAGCGGCAACAGCUCAAAUUUGAAAUCUGGCCCCUCCGGGUCCGAGUUGUAAUUUGUAGAGGAUGCUUUUGGUGAGGUGCCGCCCGAGUUCCCUGGAACGGGACGCCACAGAGGGUGAGAGCCCCGUCUGGCUGGCCACCGAGCCUCUGUAAAGCUCCUUCGACGAGUCGAGUAGUUUGGGAAUGCUGCUCAAAAUGGGAGGUAUAUGUCUUCUAAAGCUAAAUAUUGGCCAGAGACCGAUAGCGCACAAGUAGAGUGAUCGAAAGAUGAAAAGCACCUUGAAAAGAGGGUUAAACAGUACGUGAAAUUGUUGAAAGGGAAGCGCUUGUGACCAGACUUGGGCGCGGCGGAUCAUCCGGGGUUCUCUCCGGUGCACUUCGCCGCGUUCAGGCCAGCAUCAGUUCGUCGCGGGGGAAAAAGGCUUCGGGAACGUGGCUCCUCCGGGAGUGUUAUAGCCCGUUGCAUAAUACCCUGCGGUGGACUGAGGACCGCGCAUCUGCAAGGAUGCUGGCGUAAUGGUCACCAGCGACCCGUCUUGAAACACGGACCAAGGAGUCGUCUUCGUAUGCGAGUGUUCGGGUGUCAAACCCCUACGCGUAAUGAAAGUGAACGCAGGUGAGAGCUUCGGCGCAUCAUCGACCGAUCCUGAUGUUCUCGGAUGGAUUUGAGUAAGAGCAUACGGGGCCGGACCCGAAAGAAGGUGAACUAUGCCUGUAUAGGGUGAAGCCAGAGGAAAACUCUGGUGGAGGCUCGCAGCGGUUCUGACGUGCAAAUCGAUCGUCAAAUAUGGGCAUGGGGGCGAAAGACUAAUCGAACCUUCUAGUAGCUGGUUUCCGCCGAAGUUUCCCUCAGGAAGGACAAACAAC
RNAcentral lists this ribosomal RNA (910 nucleotides) under Trichoderma asperellum. Its description in RNAcentral is "partial large subunit ribosomal RNA". It matches the Rfam family "Eukaryotic large subunit ribosomal RNA", at positions 49 to 990 of the family's 3401-position model. Lineage: Eukaryota; Fungi; Ascomycota; Sordariomycetes; Hypocreales; Hypocreaceae. The record is from RNAcentral.